RNAcentral lists this transfer RNA (68 nucleotides) under Marmota monax (woodchuck). Its description in RNAcentral is "tRNA.Val". It matches the Rfam family "tRNA", at positions 6 to 65 of the family's 71-position model. Rfam says of the family: Transfer RNA (tRNA) molecules are approximately 80 nucleotides in length. Their secondary structure includes four short double-helical elements and three loops (D, anti-codon, and T loops). The record is from RNAcentral. Lineage: Eukaryota; Metazoa; Chordata; Mammalia; Rodentia; Sciuridae.
GGAUAUAGCUCAGUUGGUAGAGUACUUGCCUCACAUGCAUGAGGCCCUGGGUUCAAUCCCCAGUACCA